CCUACGGGAGGCAGCAGUGGGGAAUAUUGGACAAUGGGCGCAAGCCUGAUCCAGCAAUGCCGCGUGAGUGAUGAAGGCCUUAGGGUCGUAAAGCUCUUUUACCAGGGAUGAUAAUGACAGUACCUGGAGAAUAAGCUCCGGCUAACUCCGUGCCAGCAGCCGCGGUAAUACGGAGGGAGCUAGCGUUGUUCGGAAUUACUGGGCGUAAAGCGUACGUAGGCGGUUAUUCAAGUCAGAGGUGAAAGCCCGGGGCUCAACCCCGGAACGGCCUUUGAAACUAGGUAGCUAGAAUCUUGGAGAGGUCAGUGGAAUUCCGAGUGUAGAGGUGAAAUUCGUAGAUAUUCGGAAGAACACCAGUGGCGAAGGCGACUGACUGGACAAGUAUUGACGCUGAGGUACGAAAGCGUGGGGAGCAAACAGGAUUAGAUACCCUGGUAGUCCACGCCGUAAACGAUGAUAACUAGCUGUUCGGGCACUUGGUGCUUGAGUGGCGCAGCUACGCAUUAAGUUAUCCGUCCGUCGGGUAGGUACGGUCGCGAAGAAUUAAACUAACAAAGGAAAGUUAGACGGACGUGAGACGUGCCGACGGACGACGACGAGGGAGUAGG
Molecule: ribosomal RNA, 608 nt
Filed under: uncultured bacterium
Lineage: Bacteria
Description: bacterial SSU rRNA
Rfam family: Bacterial small subunit ribosomal RNA (bases 1-517)
Source: RNAcentral